This 206-nucleotide ribosomal RNA is filed under the name uncultured bacterium. RNAcentral's name for it is "partial 16S ribosomal RNA". It matches the Rfam family "Bacterial small subunit ribosomal RNA", at positions 568 to 774 of the family's 1533-position model. The record is from RNAcentral.
UGCGUAGGCGGUUAGUUAAGUCUGUCGUGAAAGCCCCGGGCUCAACCUGGGAAUGGCGAUGGAUACUGGCUAGCUAGAGUGUGUCAGAGGAUGGUGGAAUUCCCGGUGUAGCGGUGAAAUGCGUAGAGAUCGGGAGGAACACCAGUGGCGAAGGCGGCCAUCUGGGACAACACUGACGCUGAGGCACGAAAGCGUGGGAGCAAACA